RNAcentral lists this ribosomal RNA (538 nucleotides) under uncultured fungus. RNAcentral's name for it is "eukaryotic LSU rRNA". The stretch from base 191 to 344 matches the Rfam family "5.8S ribosomal RNA". Lineage: Eukaryota; Fungi. The record is from RNAcentral.
AAGUCGUAACAAGGUCUCCGUAGGUGAACCUGCGGAGGGAUCAUUACCGAGUGAGGGCCUCCGGGCUCGACCUCCCACCCUUCUGUUGUCCGACCGCGUUGCUUCGGGGCCGCCGUCCAGUGCGGCGCCCCGGAGGACCGUCUCUGAACUCUUGCAUUACUGCGUCUGAGUCUUAAUGAAAUUCAAUGAAAACUUUCAACAACGGAUCUCUUGGUUCUGGCAUCGAUGAAGAACGCAGCGAAAUGCGAUAAGUAAUGUGAAUUGCAGAAUUCAGUGAAUCAUCGAAUCUUUGAACGCACAUUGCGCCCUCUGGUAUUCCGGGGGGCAUGCCUGUUCGAGCGUCAUUGUCACCAAUCCAGCCCGGCUGGGUGUUGGGCAGCGCGGCCUCAUCCGCCGCGGGCCCCAAUGUCGCCGGCCACGCCGUCCGUCCCCUCGCGUUGUGGCAUCUUGUCUCGCGUCGGUGGCCGGCCGGAGUGCGCCGUUCAACCCUCUUUCUCAGGUUGACCUCGGAUCAGGUAGGGAUACCCGCUGAACUUAA